CUACGGGAGGCACCAGUGAGGAAUAUUGCACAAUGGGGGGAACCCUGAUGCAGCGACGCCGCGUGGAGGAUGACGCAUUUCGGUGUGUAAACUCCUUUUAUAUGUCAAGAAAAUGACGGUAGCAUAUGAAUAAGCACCGGCUAACUCCGUGCCAGCAGCCGCGGUAAUACGGGGGGUGCAAGCGUUACUCGGAAUCACUGGGCGUAAAGGACGCGUAGGCGGGUUGGAAAGUCAGGUGUGAAAUCCUACAGCUUAACUGUAGAACUGCACUUGAAACUUCUAAUCUAGAGUAUGGGAGGGGGAGAUGGAAUUAGUGGUGUAGGGGUAAAAUCCGUAGAUAUCACUAGGAAUACCUAAAGCGAAGGCGAUCUCCUGGAACAUUACUGACGCUAAGGCGUGAAAGCGUGGGGAGCAAACAGGAUUAGAUACCCCCGUAGUC
RNAcentral lists this ribosomal RNA (439 nucleotides) under uncultured bacterium. Its description in RNAcentral is "partial 16S ribosomal RNA". It matches the Rfam family "Bacterial small subunit ribosomal RNA", at positions 339 to 795 of the family's 1533-position model. The record is from RNAcentral.